UGUAUGGUGAAAAUGGCCACGACCCAGUUAAUCAUACACACUGAAUUAGGACUCAGUGGCUCAGAAACAAUAACACUGAGCCAAAGGAGGAGUGAGAGAGCUCACAUGCUGAUACGAGUAAUGGCAAACAGCUGUUUUUGCUGUUCGCUAAAAAUAAACACACAUGUGGGACAGGUGCGUGUAUGUACAUGUGUGUGUGUGUAUGAGUAAGUGUGCGAGCAAAGAGUUGUGUUGGUUUGGGAGGAGGCUAGUUACAAUGUCUUUGUGUCUGCUAUGGUUUUCCAAUUCUGUAUUUACAGAUCUGUGAUCAUUAAUAGUGUACAUAAUAAAUCGAAUGUGUUACAGCUAAUCUGAGGAGGCUAGCAGCUGUACUUCUCUCAGCAGGGACUUGAACUGGAAUACGAGCAGUAACAUGAUCCACAGAGAGAGAGGAGAGAGAGGAGGAAGAAGGGGGAGAGAUGGGGAGACGAAUGGAGAAAUGGAAGGAUGGGAGAGGGGAGAGAUGAAGAGCAAGAGGAGAUGUACAGAGAGAGGAAAGGCGGAUCAAGAAACAUGAGAGAAAUGUGAAGAGAGGAGAGAUGAAGAGAAGGGAGUUGACGAGAUUCACAGCCUAACCAAUGAUCUUUAAACUGUGGAGUUUUUAUCUAGAAUAUGUGACUGCAACUUCAAAG
Molecule: long non-coding RNA, 671 nt
Organism: Esox lucius (northern pike)
Lineage: Eukaryota; Metazoa; Chordata; Actinopteri; Esociformes; Esocidae
Source: Ensembl